Molecule: ribosomal RNA, 550 nt
Filed under: uncultured bacterium
Lineage: Bacteria
Description: bacterial SSU rRNA
Rfam family: Bacterial small subunit ribosomal RNA
Source: RNAcentral
UGGCAGCAGUGGGGAAUCUUGCACAAUGGAGGAAACUCUGAUGCAGCGAUGCCGCGUGAGUGAAGAAGGCCUUUGGGUUGUAAAGCUCUUUCGUCGGGGAAGAAAAUGACUGUACCCGAAUAAGAAGGUCCGGCUAACUUCGUGCCAGCAGCCGCGGUAAUACGAAGGGACCUAGCGUAGUUCGGAAUUACUGGGCUUAAAGAGUUCGUAGGUGGUUGAAAAAGUUGGUGGUGAAAUCCCAGAGCUUAACCCUGGAACUGCCAUCAAAACUUUUCAGCUAGAGUAUGAUAGAGGAAAGCAGAAUUUCUAGUGUAGAGGUGAAAUUCGUAGAUAUUAGAAAGAAUACCAAUUGCGAAGGCAGCUUUCUGGAUCAUUACUGACACUGAGGAACGAAAGCAUGGGUAGCGAAGAGGAUUAGAUACCCUCGUAGUCCAUGCCGUAAACGAUGUGUGUUAGACGUUGGAAAUUUAUUUUCAGUGUCGCAGGGAAACCGAUAAACACACCGCCUGGGGAGUACGACCGCAAGGUUAAAACUCAAAGGAAUUGACGG